This 495-nucleotide ribosomal RNA is filed under the name uncultured bacterium. RNAcentral's name for it is "partial 16S ribosomal RNA". It matches the Rfam family "Bacterial small subunit ribosomal RNA", at positions 28 to 507 of the family's 1533-position model. The record is from RNAcentral.
GACGAACGCUGGCGGCGUGCCUAAUACAUGCAAGUAGAACGCUGAAGGAGGAGCUUGCUUCUCUGGAUGAGUUGCGAACGGGUGAGUAACGCGUAGGUAACCUGCCUGGUAGCGGGGGAUAACUAUUGGAAACGAUAGCUAAUACCGCAUAAUAGUAGAUGUUGCAUGACAUUUGCUUAAAAGGUGCAAUUGCAUCACUACCAGAUGGACCUGCGUUGUAUUAGCUAGUUGGUGGGGUAACGGCUCACCAAGGCGACGAUACAUAGCCGACCUGAGAGGGUGAUCGGCCACACUGGGACUGAGACACGGCCCAGACUCCUACGGGAGGCAGCAGUAGGGAAGCUUCGGCAAUGGACGGAAGUCUGACCGAGAAACGCCGCGUGAGUGAAGAAGGGUUUCGGAUCGUAAAGCUCUGUUGUAAGAGAAGAACGAGUGUGAGAGUGGAAAGUUCACACUGUGACGGUAGCUUACCAGAAAGGGACGGCUAACUACGUG